This 491-nucleotide ribosomal RNA is filed under the name uncultured bacterium. RNAcentral describes it as "partial 16S ribosomal RNA". It matches the Rfam family "Bacterial small subunit ribosomal RNA", at positions 29 to 507 of the family's 1533-position model. The record is from RNAcentral.
AGUGAACGCUGGCGGUAGGCCUAACACAUGCAAGUCGAACGGCAGCACAGUAAGAGCUUGCUCUUACGGGUGGCGAGUGGCGGACGGGUGAGGAAUACAUCGGAAUCUACUUUUUCGUGGGGGAUAACGUAGGGAAACUUACGCUAAUACCGCAUACGACCUACGGGUGAAAGCAGGGGAUCUUCGGCCUUGCGCGAUUGAAUGAGCCGAUGUCGGAUUAGCUAGUUGGCGGGGUAAAGGCCCACCAAGGCGACGAUCCGUAGCUGGUCUGAGAGGAUGAUCAGCCACACUGGAACUGAGACACGGUCCAGACUCCUACGGGAGGCAGCAGUGGGGAAUAUUGGACAAUGGGCGCAAGCCUGAUCCAGCCAUACCGCGUGGGUGAAGAAGGCCUUCGGGUUGUAAAGCCCUUUUGUUGGGAAAGAAAAGCAGCAGGUUAAUACCCCGCUGUUCUGACGGUACCCAAAGAAUAAGCACCGGCUAACUUCGUG